CACGUAGGGCGCAAGCGUUGUCCGGAAUUAUUGGGCGUAAAGAGCUCGUAGGCGGUCUGUUGCGUCCGCUGUGAAAUCUCGGGGCUUAACCCCGAGCCUGCAGUGGAUACGGGCAGACUAGAGGUAGGUAGGGGAGAAUGGAAUUCCCGGUGUAGUGGUGAAAUGCGUAGAGAUCGGGAGGAACACCCGUGGCGAAGGCGGCCACCUGGGCCGACCCUGACGCUGAGGCGCGAAGGCGUGGGGAGCGAACGGG
Molecule: ribosomal RNA, 253 nt
Filed under: uncultured bacterium
Lineage: Bacteria
Description: partial 16S ribosomal RNA
Rfam family: Bacterial small subunit ribosomal RNA
Source: RNAcentral